Molecule: ribosomal RNA, 390 nt
Filed under: uncultured bacterium
Lineage: Bacteria
Description: bacterial SSU rRNA
Rfam family: Bacterial small subunit ribosomal RNA
Source: RNAcentral
UCCUUCGGGGUGAGUGGCAGACGGGUGAGUAACACGUGGGAACGUACCCCUUUGUUCGGAAUAACCCUGGGAAACUAGGGCUAAUACCGGAUACGGCCGAGAGGCGAAAGGUUUACCGCAGAGGGAUCGGCCCGCGUCCGAUUAGCUUGUUGGUGAGGUAAUGGCUCACCAAGGCUUCGAUCGGUAGCUGGUCUGAGAGGAUGGCCAGCCACAUUGGGACUGAGACACGGCCCAAACUCCUACGGGAGGCAGCAGUGGGGAAUAUUGGACAAUGGGCGCAAGCCUGAUCCAGCCAUGCCGCGUGAGUGAUGACGGCCUUAGGGUUGUAAAGCUCUUUUACCUGGGAAGAUCAUGACGGUACCAGGAGAAUAAGCCCCGGCUAACUUCGUG